This 1397-nucleotide ribosomal RNA is filed under the name Curculionoidea sp. 4 KM-2017. RNAcentral describes it as "16S ribosomal RNA". The record is from RNAcentral. Lineage: Eukaryota; Metazoa; Arthropoda; Insecta; Coleoptera.
AAUUUUAGGAUUAUUAAAUUUAUUAGGAUAUUUAUGAUUUAAAAAAAGUAAUUUUUAAUUUUAUUAAUUUGUAUGAAUAAAUUAAUAUAUAUAUAUAUAUAUAUAUAUAUAUAUAUAUAAUUAUAGAGAAUUAGUAUUGUAGAAGAAAUUUAUAAAAUUUUAAUAAAAGAAGAAUUAAGUUUUUGUACCUUGUGUAUCAGGGUUUAUUAAUUAAAAUUUAUAAAUUUAAAUUUCUCGAAUUUAAUAGAUUUAUAAUUAUAUAUUAUUUUAUUGUUGCAUAAAUAUUAAUAAUAUAAUUAUGGAAAUGAAACGUUAGUCGUUUUUAAAUAUAUCUAGUUUUUUAAGAAAAAAAUUAAAUUUGAUCUUUAAAUAUAUAUAUAUAUAUAUAUAUAUAUAUAUAAUAAAUUUUAUUAUUAAAAUUUAUUAUAUUAAGGUUUAAAAUUUUAGGGGAUGAGCUUUAGAAUUGAUUUAUAUAAUUAUUUAAUUAAUAAUUUAUAAAUAAAUAGGAUUGAAAGUCUCUUUUUUUAGUGUUUUAUAACAAAUUUAUUAUUUAUAAUUUAAAUUUUUAUUGAAAAAUUUAUAUGAUUAUAUUAAAAUAUAAAUUUAAAUUUAUUAAGUUUAGAAAUAAUGGUAAAAUUAGUAUAAGAUUUUGUUUAUUUAUAAAUAAAGUAUAGGUUAAUUAAAGGAAUUCGGCAAAUAUUUUUUCACCUGUUUAUUAAAAACAUGGCCUUUUGAUUAUAAUUUAAGGUCUGGCCUGCCCAAUGAUUUAUUUAAUGGCCGCAGUAUUUUGACUGUGCAAAGGUAGCAUAAUCAUUAGUUUUUUAAUUGAAAGCUGGUAUGAAAGGUUUGAUGAGAAAAAGACUGUCUCUAUUUAAAUUUAUUAAAAUUUUAUUUUUAAGUUAAAAAGCUUAAAUAUUUAUUGAAGACGAGAAGACCCUAUAGAGUUUUAUAUUAAAUUUAGUUAUAGUUGAUUUAGAAAUAAAUAAUUAUGAUUAAUCAUUUAUUUAGUUGGGGCGAUUAAAAAAUUUAUUAAACUUUUUUUUUAUAUUAUCAUUGAUUUAUGAGUAAUUGAUCCUUGAAUAAAGAUUAUAAGAUAAAAUUACCUUAGGGAUAACAGCGUAAUUUUUUUUAAGAGUUCAAAUCAAAAGAAAAGAUUGCGACCUCGAUGUUGGAUUAAAAGGAAAUAUUGGUGUAGAAGCUAAUAGAUUUGGUCUGUUCGACCAUUAAAAUUUUACAUGAUCUGAGUUUAAACCGGUGUAAGCCAGGUUGGUUUCUAUCUCUAUAAAUUAAAAAUAUUUUAGUACGAAAGGACCAAGUAUUUAAUUAAAAAUUUAUUAUAUAUAUAUAUAUAUAUAUAUAUAUAUAUAUAUAUAUAUAUAUAUAUAAAUUGAAUAUUA